Molecule: long non-coding RNA, 1244 nt
Filed under: Salvia miltiorrhiza (redroot sage)
Lineage: Eukaryota; Viridiplantae; Streptophyta; Magnoliopsida; Lamiales; Lamiaceae
Description: long non-coding RNA (SMIL_LNC011634)
Source: RNAcentral
AAUUUGUCUAAUGUAUAAUGUAAAAGUGAAAUCUGAUUUCCAAAAUCAAUUCAAGACUUGGACCCCAAGCUUGACAUCCAACAAUCUUUUGGGUAAAAAUAAAAUUAAUCUUCACAUAUAACAAACCACCGGAUAAACAAAAAAAUUGAUGGUUAAUACAAAAUACUGAUUUGGAGUUUGGCUUCCAGAAUCAAAUUCAAUACUUACCCUCCAAGUUUCGGCCCCUAUAAAUAUGACUUCUUCACUCCCACAUUUCACAUUAGUUGUUGGGCUGCAGAGACGUCAUUGGCUUCUACAGAGUCGCUGGCAGAUGGGCCGAGGCCGGAGUAAGCAAGACGACGACAAAUAGAGUCGCUGGCAGAUGAGCCGAGGCCGGAGGAAGCAAGACGACGACAAACAAAUGAUGGGCUUCGCAGUGACACACUGAGGCGGGGCGCAGGCUGCUGCAGAGAUCUUGAGGUGAAGUGAGGCGUAUGUUCUGCCUCUAUAUCAUUGCGAUCUUCUUCUUUAUCACCAAAGUUUUGUGGGAUGGCAUGGUUGAACUCCCAACGGCUGUUGCGAGCUCAGUAUCCUCCUUCAUUGUAGAUUUCCUGAUUUUUUUGUCUCUAGACUUGAAUCUGUAAGGGUGAUGAAUAAGACUUAUGCAGAAUUAAUAUAAUGAAAUUAAUAGUUAUAAUGAAAUACUCCAUAGAUCUAGAGCUUACCUGAGUCAGUGGAGGCGGUGGUGCGACGGAGACGACGGCGGAGAGACGAAUUCCAGAGGGGAAGAAGGGAGGUAGAAACCCUAGGAAUUAGAUUUUAUGAUUUGGGGAUUUAGAUAUAGGGAAGAAAUGGAAGGGAAGGAAGGGGGAAGAGAAGGGGCCGGCCUCGCCGCGCCGGAGGCGGCGAGAACCAGCGACGACCGCCGGAGAAGGAGGGAGAGAGAGAGAGGCGAUAGGGAGGAGCGAUAGAGAGAGAGAACAGAGAGAGAAAGAAAGAGUAUGCGUGUGAGAGGAAGGGGAAGAAUUAUUAAUCUGAUUCUUAUUUUGGUGUUAUAAAAUCUGAAUUAUUAAUUUAUUAAAUCUGAAUUAUUAAUUGGGCUUGAACUAUAUUUGGACCAGCUAAUUCUGAUGGACCUGAUAGUUUAUUUAAUGGGCUUAAUUUGAAUUAAAUUAAUGUUGGGCUUUGAGUUAAUUAACCUAAUAAUUAGAUUGAUUUUCACAUAUUAUAUAUAUGUAUAUAUUAUAGGCAGUAUGGUUUAUGAU